This is a non-coding RNA of Microcebus murinus (gray mouse lemur), 692 nucleotides long. The record is from RefSeq and is a predicted model, not a curated record. Lineage: Eukaryota; Metazoa; Chordata; Mammalia; Primates; Cheirogaleidae.
AGUUGAGAGGGAAUGUUUGCAGGGACGUGCACCAGCAGCGUUCUGUAACACUUCAAUCACGAACACCUUUUCCAUUGUGCUCUAAAAAGAUGCCCUGACUCUAUUCCUGAAUCUGCCAUUGAAUAGCUAAAGAGAAUGAGAAUUUCUGAAUCUGGUAUCCUCAUUUUUUUAAAAAGGUGGGGGUGGACUCUAUGGUCUUUAAUAUCCUCACCAGUUCUAAAAUUCUGUGGCCCAGAUAUUAUGGGAUAUGCACACUGCGUGGACACCCCCCUCCCCGGCCUGGCUGGUGGUGCAGGACGCUGGCACCAGCGGAAGGCGCUGAGGAAAGACGCCCCAAAUGAGCGCAAUGGGCAACACAUGUGGAGGCAGGUAGAAGGGCCACACCUGGGGGCUAGGGCAGUCUCGAAGGAUUCACGAAGACCUGAGACUCCAGCCAGGCCCAGCCGGGUGUGGCUGUGCCCAGGCUGCAGGAAAGCAGUGACAUCAGGAGCUACAGCCCGUCUUCACUUCCGGCCAGGGAGCACUAGUGACACAAAGGGAAGGAAACAGGUGGAAGCCAGUUACAUGCUUGCCCCGGGCCUUGAUGGCAGUGAAUGGUAGAGCUGGGAUUUCAACCUGAGUCCCAGGAAUCUGGGAACAGCAGGACAAACGAAAAAGGGUCUUGCUCUGUUACCCUAGCUAGAGUGCCGUGG